Non-coding RNA from Gorilla gorilla gorilla (western lowland gorilla), 59 nucleotides. The record is from Ensembl. NCBI's taxonomy places the organism in Eukaryota, Metazoa, Chordata, Mammalia, Primates, Hominidae.
GAGAAAGCUCGUAAGAGCUGCUAACUCAUACCCCCGUGCUUAACAACAUGGCUUUCUCA